RNAcentral lists this ribosomal RNA (319 nucleotides) under uncultured eukaryote. Its description in RNAcentral is "partial 18S ribosomal RNA". It matches the Rfam family "Eukaryotic small subunit ribosomal RNA", at positions 1470 to 1796 of the family's 1831-position model. The record is from RNAcentral.
CCCUUAGAUGUUCUGGGCAGCACGCGCGCUACAAUGGUCUUCGCAAACGGAUGCAUUCUCGAAGGAGAAUGCCAAUCUUGGAAUCUAUGCCUUGGUCGGGACAGUUGCUUGCAAUUUUUCGACUCGAACCAGGAAUUCCUUGUAAUCGUGAUUCAUCACAUCACGAUGAAUACGUCCCUGCCCUUUGUACACACCGCCCGUCGCUCCUACCGAUCGAAGAGUUAGGUGAAUUGUUUUGAUCGAUAAGAUUUGACUAUGGUCAACUCUCGUUGUGAAAUUCUGUGAAUCUGACUGUUUAGAGGAGGGAAAAGUCGUAACA